RNAcentral lists this ribosomal RNA (468 nucleotides) under uncultured bacterium. RNAcentral describes it as "partial 16S ribosomal RNA". It matches the Rfam family "Bacterial small subunit ribosomal RNA", at positions 28 to 507 of the family's 1533-position model. The record is from RNAcentral.
GACGAACGCUGGCGGCGUGCUUAACACAUGCAAGUCGAACGGAAAGGCCCUGCUUUUGUGGGGUGCUCGAGUGGCGAACGGGUGCGUAACACGUGAGUAACCUGCCCUUGACUUUGGGAUAACUUCAGGAAACUGGGGCUAAUACCGGAUAGGAGCUCCUGCUGCAUGGUGGGGGUUGGAAAGUCUCGGCGGUUGGGGAUGGACUGGCGGCUUAUCGGCUUGUUGGUUGGGUAGUGGCUUACCCAGGCUUUGACGGGUAGCCGGCCUGAGAGGGUGACCGGCCACAAGGGGACUACGGGACGGCCCAGACGCGUACGGGAGGCAGCAGGGGCGAGUAUUGCACAAUGGGAGGAAGCCUGAUGCGGCAGCGCCGCGGGCGGGAUGACGGCCUUCGGGGUGUAAACCGCUUUCGCCUGUGACGAAGCGUGAGUGACGGUAAUGGAUAAAGAAGCACCGGCUAACUACGUG